GUCCCCUCAGCUCUCCCCACAACCUGACGAAAGGGCCGCCGCCGCCGCCGCCGCUCGCUCCGCCUGUCGGAUCGGAGGAAGAGCGACGGGGAGGCGGAUUUGGAAGGCGGGGCUGAGGCAGAAUCUUCUGGUUGCCAUAAUGUGAUGGGAGUGGAUUGAAACUGCACACCUGGAGGACAACACAUGAAGAUGCGAAGUUUUAGAAGAUUUCGUACCAGGGUUGGGGAUAGAGCCAAACAGGUGCGUCUUCAAGAAGAGAGGGGCAAAAAAGUCAAGAUCGGAGUCAGAACUAUACAAUCAAAACUCACCUUUUAUGCAGAUACCCUGGAGCCAUAUUUAAUCAUAACCUACGCAACGUAUAGUUUAGGGCUUCACAAUAUAAAGGGGUGGGGGAUCCUUGAAAUUUGGAAAAUUUCACAUAUGAUGAUCUCCACAUAGAAGCCUUCAUCUAUGGUUCAGAUUACCAUCAUUCAUUAACUAAAAUAUGCUUGUUUCCAGGGGUGAAAUGCUCCCGGUUCGGACCGGAUCGCCUGAUUCGGUAGCGAUGAAGGUGGGUGGUUCAGAGAACCAGUAGCAAUAAUUCUUGUCCCUCACCCCUUGGCCAGCUGAGCCGCACAA
Pantherophis guttatus is the source of this 618-nucleotide long non-coding RNA. RefSeq lists it as uncharacterized. NCBI's taxonomy places the organism in Eukaryota, Metazoa, Chordata, Lepidosauria, Squamata, Colubridae. The record is from RefSeq and is a predicted model, not a curated record.